AGGGGUGUAGCUCAAGUGGCUAGAGCACCGGUCUCCAAAACCGGUGGCUGCGGGUUCGAGUCCUGCCACCCCUA
Molecule: transfer RNA, 74 nt
Filed under: bacterium
Lineage: Bacteria
Also listed under: 2 other names
Description: tRNA-Trp
Rfam family: tRNA
About the family: Transfer RNA (tRNA) molecules are approximately 80 nucleotides in length.
Source: RNAcentral